CGGUGAAUACGUUCCCGGGCCUUGUACACACCGCCCGUCAAGCCAUGGAAGCUGGGGGUGCCUGAAGUCCGUAACCGAAAGGAGCGGCCUAGGGUAAAACUAGUGACUGGGGCU
This 114-nucleotide ribosomal RNA is filed under the name uncultured bacterium. RNAcentral describes it as "partial 16S ribosomal RNA". It matches the Rfam family "Bacterial small subunit ribosomal RNA", at positions 1360 to 1482 of the family's 1533-position model. The record is from RNAcentral.